Molecule: ribosomal RNA, 309 nt
Filed under: uncultured bacterium
Lineage: Bacteria
Description: bacterial SSU rRNA
Rfam family: Bacterial small subunit ribosomal RNA
Source: RNAcentral
AUUGAACGCUGGCGGAAUGCUUUACACAUGCAAGUCGAGCGGCAGCGCGGGGGCAACCCUGGCGGCGAGCGGCGAACGGGUGAGUAAUACAUCGGAACGUGUCCUUAAGUGGGGGAGUAGCUCGGCGAAAGCCGGAGUUAAUACCGCAUAAGCUCUGAGGAGGAAAGCGGGGGCUCCGUAAGGACCUCGCGCUGUUGGAGCGGCCGAUGUCGGAUUAGCUAGUUGGUGGGGUAAAGGCCCACCAAGGCGACGAUCCGUAGCUGGUCUGAGAGGAUGGAUCAGCCACACUGGAACUGAGACACGGUCCAG